This 925-nucleotide small RNA is filed under the name Vigna angularis var. angularis. RNAcentral describes it as "Non-protein coding transcript". The record is from RNAcentral. Lineage: Eukaryota; Viridiplantae; Streptophyta; Magnoliopsida; Fabales; Fabaceae.
UUACAGGAAAAUUUUGGAAAUACAAUUUGGAACAUUUGGAAGGUUGUCACUUAAUUCAAGACUCUUCAUAAAAGAAGUGUGCACAAGAAAGAGGACACUAUGGUGAUUUUACUCUUUAGCCCUUUGAGAAAGGGGUGCUUCAAUUGAAAAAGGGGGUGCGUCCAGCAAGCACAGGCUUCAAUUAUUACAUCCAACAGCAGCCCACAUUGAAUCACAUGUCCGGGAGCUUCUUUGGGAGGUGCACACGAUGUAGAGUGCUGGAAGCAAAUAGCACACGGCCCAUGGGGAAACGCGGUCCAGCAGCUUGAAUGAAGGGUGUGACACACAGCUGGUCCAACACGUAGAGGAGCAGCCAUCCAGCGUUGCACGUUGGAGAGGAGGCAAGAGGCCCACGUGAAGACAACACGUAGCGUGCUCCAGCAGAAACAGCAACACACUUGAGACACGGGUUGUAUCCAACAAAGAUGGAGGUGCACGAAGAAGCCAAGGAGGAAGCGGCACACGUCCAGCACCUGGACCCAGCAGCACGGAAGAGGGGAUGCACUUCUUCAUAUUGAAGUGGGCACACGAGGGUUUAAAAACCCUUGGAGAGAGAAGUAAGGGUGUCUCGGCCUGGAGCUGAAGGGCACGCAGCAGGGCUGAAUGUGGGGAGAAUGCGGUGAUGGAAUGAACCGAGGAGGCUGCACGGUGAAGAAGUGGAUGCACACAGGAAGGAGGCUAUCGUCGAGAGAAAGAAAGAAGCUCACGGUUUGGAUGGACUGCUGCAUGGAAACUAGGACGAAUUGGAAGAGGAGUUAAAUGUCAAGAAGUUGGAACUCAGAAAGGACAGAAAGAGCACCAGAAGAGAAGCUGAUAAAGGUAACAGGACGCUUGGGCGCCCUCCUCUAGGGCCCUCAGCGCAGGAGCCUCGCAGUCACGCCUGAGC